CCUACGGGUGGCAGCAGUGGGGAAUAUUGGGCAAUGGGCGCAAGCCUGACCCAGCAACGCCGCGUGAAGGAUGAAGGUUUUCGGAUUGUAAACUUCUGUCGCGAGGGACGAAGAACGACGGUACCUCGUAAGAAAGCCCCGGCUAACUACGUGCCAGCAGUCGCGGCAAUACGUAGGGGGGAAGCGUUGUUCGGAAUGACUGGGCGUAAAGGGAGUGUAGGCGGCCUUGUAAGUUAGAUGUGAAAUCCUACGGCUUAACCGUAGAACUGCAUCGAAAACUGUGAGGCAGGAGGGCAGGAGGGGUGGGUGAAAUUCAUAGUGAGGCGGUAGAGGGCGAGGAAAUUAGGAGGAAAACCAGGGGGGAGGGGGACGCACUGGACUGUAACUGACGCUGAGGCUCGAAAGCGUGGGGAGCAAACAGGAGUAGAUACCCGAGUAGUC
Molecule: ribosomal RNA, 441 nt
Filed under: uncultured bacterium
Lineage: Bacteria
Description: partial 16S ribosomal RNA
Rfam family: Bacterial small subunit ribosomal RNA
Source: RNAcentral